CUUACACAUGCAAGUCAACGGGAAAGGUUGUCUUCGGACGGNCGAGUAUACUGGCGAACGGGUGAGUAACGCGUAGGUAACUUGCCUAUCAGUCUGGGAUAGCACUGCUAACGCGGUGCUAAUACCGGGUAUACUGCAUAGAUCGCAUGUUUUUUGCAGGAAAGCGGGCCUCUGGAACAAGCUCGUGCUGAUAGAUAGACCUGCGUCCCAUUAGUUAGUUGGUAGGGUAACGGCCUACCAAGGCAGCGAUGGGUAGCCGGCCUGAGAGGGUGACCGGCCACACUGGGACUGAGAUACGGCCCAGACUCCUACGGGAGGCAGCAGUGAGGAAUAUUGCGCAAUGGACGAAAGUCUGACGCAGCAACGCCGCGUGAGGGAUGAAGCUUUUCGGAGUGUAAACCUCUGUUAGGAGGGAAGAACGUCUAUUAUUCGAACAGGGUGAUAGAGUGACGGUACCUCCAGAGAAAGCCCCGGCUAACUCCGUGCCAGCAGCCGCGGUAAUACGGGGGGGGCGAACCGUUGUCCGGAAUUAUUGGGCGUAAAGGGCGCGUAGGCGGGAAGGUCAGUCAGAGGUGAAAGCUUGUGGCUUAACUGCAAGUUUGCCUUUGAUACUGCCAUUCUUGAGUUCGGAAGAGGGAAGUGGAAUUCCUGGUGUAGCGGUGAAAUGCGUAG
This 672-nucleotide ribosomal RNA is filed under the name uncultured organism. RNAcentral describes it as "bacterial SSU rRNA". It matches the Rfam family "Bacterial small subunit ribosomal RNA", at positions 48 to 693 of the family's 1533-position model. The record is from RNAcentral.